This 440-nucleotide long non-coding RNA is filed under the name Sinocyclocheilus grahami. RNAcentral's name for it is "lncRNA (ENSSGRG00000044156.1)". The record is from RNAcentral. Lineage: Eukaryota; Metazoa; Chordata; Actinopteri; Cypriniformes; Cyprinidae.
UGUUCUGAAAGCUUCAAAUGCGAACACGUGUCUCAACUGUACGGCUUUCUUUUGCAGCUGUGUCGACCACGAUGACCAUGAAUGGCGUGGGCUCAUGGGAAGUUUCCGUGCCAUCUGCUGGGAUGAGUAGAUCAAGAUCGGUUAAAUUCAAGGCCUCCUUCACAUGAACUUUGAGAGCAUGAUGACCAUGGGUUGUGUUUGUAGUGUUGGCACAAUGAGCUCUCACCAAAGACCUGGAACUCCCAAGGUACUUCUGUCGUUAGUAACUGGCAGUGACUUUUCUUUUGAGUUUUUAUUAAGAUUGCAAAAUAAAUGGCUCUCUUGUAUUUGCAGUUUCAAAUAGUUGCAUCCCCGAGUCAUCACCUUUUGCAUUGAUGUUUGUAUCGGAUUUUCAGUGAUCUAAAUAAAUGUGAUCCUUUUAAAUGAAAUUCUGCUUGGUC